RNAcentral lists this ribosomal RNA (231 nucleotides) under Triticum aestivum (bread wheat). RNAcentral describes it as "partial small subunit ribosomal RNA". The record is from RNAcentral. Lineage: Eukaryota; Viridiplantae; Streptophyta; Magnoliopsida; Poales; Poaceae.
GGGGACUUUAAUGAAAUUCUGUUUGAUCAUGAGAAGGAAGGGGGAUACCCUCACCCAAAUCCAUAGAAGCAAGCUUUUAAGUAAGCUCUCAAUGAUUGUGAACUAGAGGAUAUGUGAUUCGUGGGAGAUAAAUUCACAUGGCAUAGGGGACAAAUCCGGGAAUGCCUUGAUCACGGAGUGUCUAACAGUCAGUGGUCAAUUGUAUCUGAAUGCAGUGAUCCGAAACCUUAA